Molecule: ribosomal RNA, 384 nt
Filed under: uncultured bacterium
Lineage: Bacteria
Description: bacterial SSU rRNA
Rfam family: Bacterial small subunit ribosomal RNA
Source: RNAcentral
GACGAACGCUGGCGGCGUGCUUAACACAUGCAAGUCGAGCGGUAAGGCCCUUUCGGGGGUACACGAGCGGCGAACGGGUGAGUGACACGUGGGUGACCUGCCCUUAGCUCUGGGAUAAGCCUGGGAAACUGGGUCUAAUACCGGAUAUGACUCCAUGACGCAUGUUGUGGGGUGGAAAGCCUUGUGCGGCUAGGGAUGGGCCCGCGGCCUAUCAGCUUGUUGGUGGGGUGANGGCCUACCAAGGCGACGACGGGUAGCCGGCCUGAGAGGGCGACCGGCCACACUGGGACUGAGACACGGCCCAGACUCCUACGGGAGGCAGCAGUGGGGAAUCUUGCGCAAUGGGCGAAAGCCUGACGCAGCGACGCCGCGUGGGGAUGACGG